UUGCGCGUUCGAGUGUCGACCUCCCCUUUCCCUUUAGUUCGCUUUUAUUAUUAUUUUUUUCCCUAUUUGGAUCUCUGGUAGACCAUUUGUUGACGCUCCGGCGAAUUUUCCUGGAGCUAGGCGACGCUGCAGCGGCAGCGGCGUGCAUUCGGAGAAGCCUUGUGCCCACAAACAUGGCGUCAGCCAGCGAGAGAUUGGAGCUGGUGAAGCUCUGCAGCUCGCGCAACUGGUCCAAAGCUAUCCGAGUACUCGAUUCUCUGCUCUCUCGCUCGUGUUCCAUUCAGGAUCUCUGCAAUCGCGCCUUUUGUUACAGCCAGUUAGAACUGCACAAGCACGUCAUCAAGGAUUGUGAUAGGGCUCUUGAGCUUGAUCCUGCUCUUCUUCAAGCUUAUAUACUUAAAGGCAACGCUUUCUCAGCACUAGGCAGAAAGGAGGAUGCUUUGCAUGUAUGGGAGGAAGGCUAUACAAAAAAUGUUUAUGAAUCGACAGAUAUAAAUCAGUUGUUGAAACUGGAAGAAUUAGUGGAAUCUGUGAAACAAAAUUCAGCCAUUGCCAAUGAAAAUGAUUCCAACGAAUUUUCUAAUGCUGUGACAAGAAAGCCUGAGAAUGAAGUAAUGUCUACUGAAUGUGAAAGUGAUGCCAUUGAUUGCUCUGAUGCAGUAACAUGCAAGUCUGAUCCUGAAGUUAUAAGUGGAGAUUCUGCCUUAAACUCUUCAAACACCACUAUUUUGUCUACUGAUAUCGAAUCUAGAAGUCUGAGUAAAGCAAUUGAUUCAUCUGAUAUCAUUCAACCAAGGGAUGUUACUGAGAAAUGUGGCAGAUCAGAUGAGACUAUUAAAGUUAGCAAGAAAAUGUUUGUUGCUGGUAAUACAAUAAAUUUGGAUAUUCGGUUGUCCCGAGGAAUAGCACAGGUUAAUGAAGGGAACUAUGUUGACGCUAUAUCUAUUUUUGACCAGGUUCUGAGUGAAAAACCCAAAUAUGCUGAGGCUCUUAUAGGUCGAGGGACAGCUUAUGCUUUUAAAAGAGAGCUCGAAGCUGCUAUUGAUGAUUUUACUAUGGCUAUUAAGUGCAAUUCAUCCGCUGGUGAAGCUUGGAAGCGGCGGGGACAGGCUCGUGCUGCAUUAGGUGAAUUUGAGGAGGCUAUUGAGGACUUGGGGAAAGCUUUAGAAUUUGAGCCAAAUUCGUCUGAUAUUUUACAUGAAAGGGGAAUUGUUAGUUUCAAGUUCAAAGACUAUCAUGCCGCAGUGGAAGAUCUGUCUUCUUGUGUCAAAUGUGAUAGGGAAAACAAGUCUGCAUACACAUACUUAGGUCUUGCUUUGUUUCACAUUGGCGAAUAUUGUCAAGCCGAAGAGGCGCAUCGCAAAUCAAUAAAACUUGAUAGAAGUUUUCUAGAGGCAUGGACCCAUCUUGCGCAGUUUUAUCAAGAUCUGGCAAAACCAGAGGAAGCAUUACAAUGCAUUGAGCAAAUAUUACUUGUUGAUGGAAGGUUUGCCAAAGCAUACUACUUGCGUGGGUUACUAUAUCAUAUGAUGGGGCAACAUAGGGCUGCUGUGAAAGAUUUAACUUCAGGACUGAAUAUCGACAGUUCAAACAUUGAAAGCCUGUACUUGCGGGCAUCAUGUUACCAUGCCAUUGGAGAAUAUAGAGAGGCGGUCAAAGAUUAUGAUUCAGUCUUGGAUUUAGAGAAUGAUUCAAUGGAUAAGUUUGUGCUCCAGUGCUUAGCAUUUUAUCAGAAAGAAAUUGCUCUUUACACUGCUUCAAAGGCCAGCAGUGAAUUCUCUUGGUUUGAUAUUGAUGGUGAUGUCGAUCCCCUCUUUAAGGAGUAUUGGUGCAAAAAAUUGCACCCAAAGUAUGUAUGUGAAAGAGUUUUCAGGCAACCUACUUUACGAGAUUCAUUGAAGAAGGGUCGACUCAAGAAGCAAGAAUUCCCUUUUACAAAGCAAAAAACGAACCUUCUACGGGCAGCAGAUCGUAUAGGACAAAAGAUUCAGUAUCAUUGCCCAGGCUUCUUGCCCAAUAAACGUCAGUAUCGAAUGGCUGGGCUAGCGGCAAUUGAGAUUGCCCAAAAGGUUGGAAAGGCAUGGCGUUUGCUUAGAAGUGCUAGUAAAAGUGGAAAAAAAGCUAAGAGAAGAGAGAGGCCUACUAUUCAGAGCUAUAAUAGAGGUGGCGUUUGUUGUAGUACUAGCAGCCUAUCAGAAACAUCAGCCUCGUAUAGCUCGAGUGAAGAUAAAUUUUCUUCCAACCGUACCUUUUCUUGGAAGGAUAUUUAUGCAAUAGCUGUCAAAUGGAGGCAGAUCUCAGAGCCUUGUGAUCCUGUUGUUUGGAUCAACAAAUUGAGUGAAGAGGCUGAUUCUGGAGUUGGUUAUCAGAUUCCAAUUCUUCUUGGCCAAGCAAAAGUUGUCCGCUAUUUUCCAAUGAAUCUGAGGACCCUGAAUGUUGUGAAGUCUAUCAUAAGGAAGUUGAAGUACGUGCAUGUUGAUGAUAAAGUUUUUAAUAUCUCUGAAGCUGAAACACUGAAAAAGAUAGCACAUGUUGAAUCCUGUUCGGAACUUUAUGGAAUUAUUGGCAAGAAUUUCUGGGUUACUACUAAGUGCGACAGUACAGCUUUUGAGGGGAAGCAACUUGAAGGGACACGGAUUAGCAUUCGCAGGAUGGGAAAAUUGGGAUUUGAUUUUGCAAUUCAAACACCUUCGUCUUCUUCUAGAUGGGAAGAUUAUAAUAGAGAAAUGGAAGCAGCAUGGGAGGACCUAUGCACUGCAUGCUGCGAUGAGCUCUAUGGCUCAAGUGAUCCGAGUUUGCUUGAGAAUGUAAAUGAUGCAAUCCUAAGAAUGACAUACUACUGGUUUAACUUUAUGCCGCUGGCGCGAGGGUCUGCUGUUGUUGGAUUAACAGUUAUGUUAGGGUUAUUCCUUGCAACCAACAUGGAUGUAACGGCUAGUAUCCCACCCGGUGUCCAGGUGGACUGGGAAGCCCUCUUAUCCCCCAACUCCCAGUUAUUUAUCAACACUAUAAAAACAUGGCUAUAUCCAUCCCUCAGAUAUAACGUCGCUUGGAAAGACUAUCCAGAUGUAACUUCAACGUUCUCAACCACUGGAUCAGUAGUUGCUGCCUUGAGUAAUUAUUUUUUAUCGUAAUUAUUCUCUUUGGUCUUAAGGUAUACUCUUCUCAGCCAUUUUAAAGAGGAAAUCAUAUUUUAAUUAUAGCAAUUUGAUGGGAAGGCUUUCCUUGUAUGAAUUGUAAAGAGUUAAAGGUUCAAAAAAGGUGCUUGUAUUUGGAAAAUGAUGCCCAAGCUCAAUAAUGUUUAAAAGGGCCUAUCCAACACAGGAGACUCCUUGCAGGAUUUUGAAGGGAUUAAUCGCUAUAUAAGGAGAAUAAUUGGAUAGAGAAAGGAAUAUUUUAUUGGAGUUCUAGGUUUGAUAGUAGCGUUUGUAAGAGAGAGAUGAUGGGGGAUCAGAUUUAAGGCAGCACUGUUAUCCCUUUUUUUUUCAUUUUUUGGAAGGGAGAGUAAAGGCAGGUUGGAGGGAGACAAUUGAGAUUUUGCUCUUUCACAAGGAAUAAAUGUAUAAUAAGGAGGUUAACUUAGUAGGAAAAGCUGUAUUGAGAAAGGAAGAAAGUUUACUGUUGUAUUUCCCUGGUUUCUUGUUGCGGUUGGGCCUAGCAUUUAAAUGCGAGUCUGUAUUUAGAUCCAAGUAGUUAAGUCUAUUAUGAAUAAAGAUCUAGGAUCAUUUUAGAUGAAAAGUGUUAUGAUUUGCA
This is an RNA transcript of Dendrobium catenatum, 3753 nucleotides long. It is a transcript of the gene named suppressor of RPS4-RLD 1, with no coding region annotated. The transcript has 25 exons. NCBI's taxonomy places the organism in Eukaryota, Viridiplantae, Streptophyta, Magnoliopsida, Asparagales, Orchidaceae. The record is from RefSeq and is a predicted model, not a curated record.